Molecule: ribosomal RNA, 67 nt
Filed under: Priestia megaterium
Lineage: Bacteria; Bacillati; Bacillota; Bacilli; Caryophanales; Bacillaceae
Also listed under: 1 other name
Description: partial 16S ribosomal RNA
Rfam family: Bacterial small subunit ribosomal RNA
Source: RNAcentral
UCUUCGGAGAGUUUGAUCCUGGCUCAGGAUGAACGCUGGCGGCGUGCCUAAUACAUGCAAGUCGAGC